UCACAUUGUUGCUUGUUCUUACUUUUUUGAAAGAGCUACUCUCGAACGUAGAUUAGCCAUUGCCGUCGUGUCGGCUGCAAGACGUUCCGCGCGCGCUUGGCGCGCUUUUGUGCGUGUCGAAAGCGUAUAUAACGUGCGCGAUAUUCGUGCGAGCGCAGUUUGACUUGAGCAAUCGUGCGUUUGGACUCCGUGACAUUUGCUUUCGUCAUAUGCGAGUUAGGGGCUUGCCGACAGGUAAACCGCCGCUGUACUUAGAUGAGUUGAGAUUUACACAUCAAUGCCAGCUCACAAAGCAUCUAAUACGGCAAUCAGCCAGCCACCUCCGCAGAUGGAGAAUUCUGCAGUUUCCAAUCAUACUGUUUCUGUUGUCCUUGGCAGAGAUGUUGAUUGUACACAGAGGGAAUAUAUUGUAGGACAAUAAAAAUAACUUGUCAUGACAAGGGC
RNAcentral lists this long non-coding RNA (444 nucleotides) under Dermacentor andersoni. Its description in RNAcentral is "uncharacterized LOC126539380". The record is from RNAcentral. Lineage: Eukaryota; Metazoa; Arthropoda; Arachnida; Ixodida; Ixodidae.